GAUGAACGCUAGCGGGAGGCCUAAUACAUGCAAGUCGAACGGUAAGGUCCUUUCGGGGAUACACGAGUGGCGGACGGGUGCGUAACGCGUACGAAACAUACCUUCAACAGGGAGAUACCUCCGGGAAACUGGAAAUAAUACCCCAUAGUAUUGAGAUAUCGCAUGAUAUUUCAAUUAAAGCUUUGGCGGUUGAAGAUUGUCGUGCGUCUGAUUAGCUAGUUGGUGAGGUAACGGCUCACCAAGGCGACGAUCAGUAGCUGGUCUGAGAGGAUGAUCAGCCACACUGGAACUGAGACACGGUCCAGACUCCUACGGGAGGCAGCAGUAGGGAAUAUUGCUCAAUGGCCGAAAGGCUGAAGCAGCAACGCCGCGUGGAGGAUGAAAUACUUUAGUAUGUAAACUCCUGUAAGAGGGGAAAAUAUACAGUUCUGCUGUAUUGAUUGUACCCUCAGAGUAAGCACCGGCUAACUACGUGCCAGCAGCCGCGGU
RNAcentral lists this ribosomal RNA (489 nucleotides) under uncultured bacterium. RNAcentral describes it as "bacterial SSU rRNA". It matches the Rfam family "Bacterial small subunit ribosomal RNA", at positions 28 to 521 of the family's 1533-position model. The record is from RNAcentral.